RNAcentral lists this ribosomal RNA (420 nucleotides) under Oxyrrhis marina. RNAcentral describes it as "partial Bacterial small subunit ribosomal RNA". It matches the Rfam family "Bacterial small subunit ribosomal RNA", at positions 506 to 929 of the family's 1533-position model. The record is from RNAcentral. Lineage: Eukaryota; Dinophyceae; Oxyrrhinales; Oxyrrhinaceae.
UGCCAGCAGCCGCGGUAAUACGGGGGAUGCAAGCGUUAUCCGGAAUCAUUGGGCGUAAAGCGCCUGUAGGUUGUUUAGUAAGUCCAUUGUUAAAGACCAGGGCUUAACCCUGGGAAAGCAAUAGAAACUACUAGACUUGAGUAUGGCAGGGGUAGAGGGAAUUUCUAGUGUAGCGGUGAAAUGCGUAGAUAUUAGAAAGAACACCGGUGGCGAAAGCGCUCUACUGGACCAUUACUGACACUGAGAGGCGAAAGCUAGGGUAGCAAAAGGGAUUAGAUACCCCUGUAGUCCUAGCCGUAAACGAUGGAUACUAGGUGUUGUGCAGUUCGUACAGUAUCUUAGCUAACGCGUUAAGUAUCCCGCCUGGGGAGUACGCUCGCAAGGGUGAAACUCAAAGGAAUUGACGGGGGCCCGCACAAG